AAAGAGAGAGGGAGAGGAACGCGCCGGGUUUCCACAACUUGGCGGCGGAGCCCCGGGGCUGGAAGGGCGCUCGUGGCCGCACGCAGCCGGCAGAAACGCAGCGGGCAGCGGCGCUCCCCGCCCGGACACUCACCUGCGCGCGGGCGCUGCGGGCGCGGCUCCGCUCCGGGGGCGGCGGGAGAAGCCUGGGGCGGACUUUCCCUCACUUGCCGCGCAUGGUGCAACUCCUGGUGCCGGGGUCCCGGCCAGCCCGCCAGCAGCCUGCGAACCCCCCCGCGCCGCCGCCGCCGCGCACGCCUCCUCCUCCCCCUCGGCGCACACAAGGAAGUCCCGGAGAGUGGGAAGGGGAGAGCGGAAAGUUUUGGGGCGGAAUGGCGGCCGCGGGCGCGCGGCGGCGGCGGGAGCGGCGCUGAGGGGAGCGGGCCGCGCCCGGAGCCCGCCGCCGCCGCCACUGCCGGGCGGGAAGGACGGGGGCGGGCGGCGGGGCGAGGAGGGCCGGUGGGGGGGCGAGCGGCCGCGCCCCCGCCCCCGGCAGCGUGCGGGGCCGCCCUGCCCGCCGGCCGCCCUGGGGGAACCCCCCGCGCCGCGCUCCCACGCGGAGCGCCGCUCCCACGCCGCGCACACGCGGAGGAAGCCUCCCCUCCCCCCACCCCUUCGGCUCCCCGCCGCCGUGACCGGGCGAGCCCCGGCCCCGGGCGCUCCAGCCGCCGCCGCCACCGACGGAGGGCCGCGGCCCCGAGCCAGGGGAAGGUGUACACGCGCGCCGGGGUGCGGGGUGCGUGCGUGCACGGGAACGGGCGCGGGGCCGCUCGGCUGCGGGCGCACACCCGCUGUGCCCGCGGAAUGAUGCAACGCGGCCGCCGCGCCGCGCCGUGCGGCCGCCCCUCCCCCCGCAGCCGCCGCCGCCGCCGCCGCCGCCGGGCGUUGUUUCCGCCUGGCGGGUCAGCGCUCGGCGAAGCGAGCCUCCCUUCGUCCUGCUCGGUCACCUGCGCUGCAAAGUAA
RNAcentral lists this long non-coding RNA (1002 nucleotides) under Phasianus colchicus (ring-necked pheasant). RNAcentral describes it as "lncRNA (ENSPCLG00000007788.1)". The record is from RNAcentral. Lineage: Eukaryota; Metazoa; Chordata; Aves; Galliformes; Phasianidae.